Molecule: long non-coding RNA, 787 nt
Filed under: Manihot esculenta (cassava)
Lineage: Eukaryota; Viridiplantae; Streptophyta; Magnoliopsida; Malpighiales; Euphorbiaceae
Description: long non-coding RNA (MESC_LNC001576)
Source: RNAcentral
GGAAAGGGUGGAUAGCCAAAUCCCGAGGCCUGCAUGCCUCCCUGGGAUUCCCCCAUACCUUCUUCUGACCUUCCUACACCCAUGCUUACAUCUCUACUCUGACCCUCUUCCAUCACACCUCUUUCUUCUACUGACCUUCCCCCUCUGUUUACUCCUCUCCUGCUCUCGUCAGAAGACCUUCUAGGGUCUCGUGACGUUCCUUCCCUGCUUGACCUGUGAGAUCUUGCCCUUGGCAAGGCAGGUGGACGAGCAGCUGUACCCUCACUUACAGGUGGGACUCCAAUCAAUCUCGCGGAUCGACGAGUUCCUCGCAUCUUCACUCUCUGGAAAACAACAAAUCACAUAACACAUCAGCAACACAUCAAAAACAUGCACAUGCAUAACUCAGGGCAUGGCACAUCAGCAUAUAGACAGGACUAACAUCCUAUCCUAGUGGACAUGUUUUUCCUAUGGUGCUUGACCUACUAAACCUCCCUAUGAGCCCAACUCUCUCUCUAUAGGUCCGACCAUGUGAACCUAGGGCUCUGAUACCAAUCUGUAACAGCCCGGAAACCGAACUGCCACCGGCACUAGGAUCCAGAUCGACUUAAGGUCGCCGGGACCCGUAGUAAGCCUGCUAUCCUGUGUAUACCUGUAAAAUCCCAUACAUGAUCAUACAUUUGCUGUAAAACACAUAAAACGUUUCUUCAUUCCAAGGCUUAACCUGUGCAUGCAAUCUUUCUAUUCUCUACUAAUCCCUACUAGAGCUCCUCAUGGCCCUAGGCGGAUCAAACUCAUCAUGUUAAGC